UUUGGAUCCAGACUUUGAUUCUGGCUCAGGACGAACGCUGGCGGCACGCUUAACACAUGCAAGUCGAACGGAGAUAUUCACUUCGGUAAAUAUCUUAGUGGCGGACGGGUGAGUAACACGUGAGGAACCUGCCUCUGAGUGUGGGAUAGCUUCUGGAAACGGAUGGUAAUACCGCAUAACAUUAUUUUAUCGCAUGGUAAGAUAAUCAAAGAUUCAUUGCCCAGAGAUGGCCUCGCGUCUGAUUAGAUAGUUGGUGAGGUAACGGCUCACCAAGUCGACGAUCAGUAGCCGGACUGAGAGGUUGGACGGCCACAUUGGGACUGAGACACGGCCCAGACUCCUACGGGAGGCAGCAGUGGGGAAUAUUGCACAAUGGGGAAAACCCUGAUGCAGCGAUGCCGCGUGGAGGAAGAAGGUUUUCGGAUUGUAAACUCCUGUCGUAAGGGACGAUAAUGACGGUACCUUACAAGAAAGCUCCGGCUAACUACGUGCCAGCAGCCGCGGUAAUACGUAGGGAGCGAGCGUUGUCCGGAAUUACUGGGUGUAAAGGGAGCGUUGGCGGGACGGCAAGUCAGAUGUGAAAUAUACGUGCUCAACAUGUAGACUGCAUUUGAAACUGUCGUUCUUGAGUGAGGUAGAGGUAAGCGGAAUUCCUGGUGUAGCGGUGAAAUGCGUAGAGAUCAGGAGGAACAUCGGUGGCGAAGGCGGCUUACUGGGCCUUUACUGACGCUGAGGCUCGAAAGCGUGGGGAGCAAACAGGAUUAGAUACCCUGGUAGUCCACGCCGUAAACGAUGAUUACUAGGUGUGGGGGGACUGACCCCUUCCGUGCCGCAGUUAACACAAUAAGUAAUCCACCUGGGGAGUACGGCCGCAAGGUUGCAACUCAAAUGAAUUGACGGA
This 901-nucleotide ribosomal RNA is filed under the name uncultured Bacillota bacterium. RNAcentral describes it as "bacterial SSU rRNA". It matches the Rfam family "Bacterial small subunit ribosomal RNA", at positions 1 to 917 of the family's 1533-position model. The record is from RNAcentral. Lineage: Bacteria; Bacillati; Bacillota.